This 261-nucleotide ribosomal RNA is filed under the name uncultured bacterium. Its description in RNAcentral is "partial 16S ribosomal RNA". It matches the Rfam family "Bacterial small subunit ribosomal RNA", at positions 335 to 584 of the family's 1533-position model. The record is from RNAcentral.
ACUCCUACGGGAGGCAGCAGUGGGGAAUAUUGCACAAUGGGCGCAAGCCUGAUGCAGCCAUGCCGCGUGUGUGAAGAAGGCCUUCGGUUGUGAAAUGGCAACUUUACAGUCGUGAGGAAGGUAGUGUAGUUAAUAGCUGCAUUAUUUGACGUUAGCGACAGAAGAAGCACCGGCUAACUCCGUGCCAGCAGCCGCGGUAAUACGGAGGGUGCGAGCGUUAAUCGGAAUUACUGGGCGUAAAGCGCAUGCAGGUGGUUUGUU